RNAcentral lists this transfer RNA (74 nucleotides) under Methanosarcinales archaeon. RNAcentral's name for it is "tRNA-Trp". It matches the Rfam family "tRNA". Rfam says of the family: Transfer RNA (tRNA) molecules are approximately 80 nucleotides in length. RNAcentral also lists the same sequence under 1 other name. Lineage: Archaea; Methanobacteriati; Methanobacteriota; Methanomicrobia; Methanosarcinales. The record is from RNAcentral.
GGGGCCGUAGCUCAGCCAGGAAGAGCGGGGGACUCCAGAUCCCUUGGGCGUGGGUUCAAAUCCUACCGGCCCCA